CUAAGAAGCUAUGAAUCAGCACUAGCCUUUUAAGCUAGAAAAAGAGGAUACUCGCCCCUCCUUAUGGA
This 68-nucleotide transfer RNA is filed under the name Athene noctua. RNAcentral's name for it is "tRNA-Lys". The record is from RNAcentral. Lineage: Eukaryota; Metazoa; Chordata; Aves; Strigiformes; Strigidae.